AGAGUUUGAUCCUGGCUCAGGAUGAACGCUGGCGGCGUGCCUAACACAUGCAAGUCGAACGAGCUCGAUCUUCGGAACGGGUUAGUGGCGCACGGGUGAGUAACACGUAGGUGACCUACCCCAGAGUGGGGGAUAACUUCUCGAAAGAGAGGCUAAUACCGCAUACACUCGGCCAUUCAUUUGGCCGAGCAAAGCUCCGGCGCUUUGGGACGGGCCUGCGUCCGAUUAGCUAGUUGGUAGGGUAAUGGCUUACCAAGGCUUUGAUCGGUAGCUGGUCUGAGAGGACGAUCAGCCACACUGGCACUGACACACGGGCCAGACUCCUACGGGAGGCAGCAGUGAGGAAUAUUGGGCAAUGGGCGAAAGCCUGACCCAGCAACGCCGCGUGAGGGAUGAAGGCCUUCGGGUCGUAAACCUCUUUUCUGGGAGAAGAGACAAGGACGGUAUCCCAGGAAUAAGUCUCGGCUAACUACGUGCCAGCAGCCGCGGUAAUACGUAGGAGGCUAGCGUUAUCCGGAUUCACUGGGCGUAAAGCGCACGCAGGCGGUCAUGUAAGUCAGACGUGAAAGCUCCUGGCUCAACUGGGAGAGGUCGUUUGAUACUGCAUGGCUUGAGGUUGGGAGAGGGAAGCGGAAUUCCCGGUGUAGUGGUGGAAUGCGUAGAUAUCGGGAGGAACACCAGUGGCGAAAGCGGCUUCCUGGCCCAUACCUGACGCUCAGGUGCGAAAGCGUGGGGAGCGAACGGGAUUAGAUACCCCGGUAGUCCACGCUGUAAACGAUGCGAACUAGGUGUUGGUAGUAUUAAUCCUAUCAGUGCCGUAGCUAACGCGAUAAGUUCGCCGCCUGGGGACUACGGCCGCAAGGCUAAAACUCAAAGGAAUUGACGG
This 886-nucleotide ribosomal RNA is filed under the name uncultured bacterium. RNAcentral's name for it is "bacterial SSU rRNA". It matches the Rfam family "Bacterial small subunit ribosomal RNA", at positions 8 to 916 of the family's 1533-position model. The record is from RNAcentral.